AACGCGAAGAACCUUACCUACCCUUGACAUCCUGCGAAUCUUGGUGAGAGCUGAGAGUGCCGAAAGGAGCGCAGAGACAGGUGCUGCAUGGCUGUCGUCAGCUCGUGUUGUGAGAUGUUGGGUUAAGUCCCGUAACGAGCGCAACCCUUGUUCUUAGUUGCCAGCAAGUAAAGUUGGGGACUCUAAGAAGACUGCCGGUGAUGAACCGGAGGAAGGCGGGGACGACGUCAAGUCAUCAUGGCCUUUAUGGGUAGGGCUACACACGUGCUACAAUGGGGCGUACAGAGGGUAGCCAACCAGCGAUGGGGAGCCAAUCUCAAAAAGCGUCUCGUAGUCCGGAUUGGAGUCUGCAACUCGACUCCAUGAAGUUGGAAUCGCUAGUAAUCGCGAAUCAGCCAUGUCGCGGUGAAUACGUUCCCGGGCCUUGUA
Molecule: ribosomal RNA, 429 nt
Filed under: uncultured Gammaproteobacteria bacterium
Lineage: Bacteria; Pseudomonadati; Pseudomonadota; Gammaproteobacteria
Description: bacterial SSU rRNA
Rfam family: Bacterial small subunit ribosomal RNA
Source: RNAcentral